This 253-nucleotide ribosomal RNA is filed under the name uncultured prokaryote. RNAcentral describes it as "partial 16S ribosomal RNA". It matches the Rfam family "Bacterial small subunit ribosomal RNA", at positions 524 to 776 of the family's 1533-position model. The record is from RNAcentral.
UACGUAGGGCGCAAGCGUUAUCCGGAAUUAUUGGGCGUAAAGAGCUCGUAGGCGGUUCGUCGCGUCGGCUGUGAAAUCCCGGAGCUCAACUCCGGGUCUGCAGUCGAUACGGGCGGACUUGAGUACUGCAGGGGAGACUGGAAUUCCUGGUGUAGCGGUGAAAUGCGCAGAUAUCAGGAGGAACACCGGUGGCGAAGGCGGGUCUCUGGGCAGUAACUGACGCUGAGGAGCGAAAGCGUGGGGAGCGAACAGG